This 477-nucleotide long non-coding RNA is filed under the name Homo sapiens (human). RNAcentral's name for it is "HSALNT0059204". The record is from RNAcentral. Lineage: Eukaryota; Metazoa; Chordata; Mammalia; Primates; Hominidae.
CCAGCACUCUAACUUUUGUCAUAAGAAAAUGAUGCACACAGAAGCAACCUAUAUGCUGUGCUCUGUUAUCUACUGAUGCCUGUGUUCUCCUCAACACUGUGGCAGUCAACUAUCUGGAGGGAUAUGGAGCUUAGUGGGAAGCUGCCACAUCUUCACUUUUGCUUCAAUAAGGUUCUAACCAUGAAAACUGCACUCCAACUAGAGAGAAUAAUUUCCAUUCUCAAACUCUGGAGGCUCACCCCUUAACGUUUUAUGAAAGGCAGAUCCAAGGCAAGCAUCUCUUCAAUUUAACCUUCACAAGAGACACAAUUCAGUCUUUUAUUUUUCCCAAUGAUACUGCAAUCAACUUGAGACUGCUCACCAUGAACCAUUUGAAAAUAUUUUUCAAAUUAAUACACAAAUUAUGAAGCAUACGUUGGCUGCUGAUCCCUGUGAACCAUUCCCAUUGACUUUUAAGUCCAAUGCUGUAUAUCAGGU